GCUCUUUCUGCUGGGGGAUCUCAGAGAUGCACAGCUGCACACCCCCACUCGCUCCAACGUCAAGCAGCGGUUGCUCUUGAGACGAGUUGCAGGUGCUCUACAGGCCCACACUGGGCCUGUCCACAUCUCAGAUACCAUAGCAAGCUAAUUCAGACUCCAGGCCCUAAAGUUAAGCCCUCAUAUACGCCUCUCCUGUCACCAGCUCAGCUACCAUAGAGAAUAGGCCCUAUCCUGACCCCUGAGCCACUUGAACAAGCACAUGCCUAUGUACUCUUUUGUGCCUCCCCAGCUUACUUCACAAGCACCCUUACCUCAAAAACAAUGUGGCAGUGGGAAUGCCUGCGCCCCAGGUACCAGCGCUAUUGACCCCCAGACCCCAGAGUUCUAUAGUCCCUCCAAAUGUUCCUUUGCUCAGGCUUCAGCUCCAUGGCUAUUCCAUGGGCCCUACUCAUCAGACCCCAGUACCACUGCAAAAUAGUGCACAAGCCAGACCUUGUGCCAAGAGGGAUCUUCUAAGUUACAACCUCACUAGAAGAAGAAAAAUAUCAGCAGGAUCUCAGCAACCAUUCAAAUAUAGCUAGUCCAACCCAGAAGCCAAAAUUUAAACUUUAAUUAAGUAGCCACAUGUGACUAGUAUCUACUUCACCGGACAAUAUAGUGCCAGGUUCCCAGUUGAAUGAAAAAAACAGCUUCAACAAGAGAAUCUUUACUAUAACCAUAUAAACAUGGAAUCCUAGAGAGAGUAUGACAAUGAUAUCUGCUUUGUAAGCUAGAAGCAGCAUGUUAUUUCCAGAAAGUUCUAAGAUUGAAAUGGUAACACUGUCCUUCUACCAUUAUUAUAAGUAAACUCCACACAUUUGCUUUCUAAAUAUAUUAUAGGGAAUAAAACCCUAAUUAUGUUUUGUUAUAGAUGACUACUCACAUGAUGUUUGACAUGUACAAAGCAUGGCCCCGUAUUUUAGCAUCUGUUUCUUGCAUUCAUUGAGAAGUUGUCAUUAAUCCCAUAAUUGAUAGCUUAGAGUACCUGGGAGACUUGCUCAGUGGUCACAGCUGGUAAAUGGUGAGGUACCCCUGGUUUUGUGAUUUCCAAUUCUGUUUUCUUCUUCACUUUUUACUAUUAUUUUUUAUAUGAAGGAAGGAAGAUCUCUACCAAGAUUUCUCUGUUUCUAUAAACAAUGAUGUUUUUAAAAGUAUUUAAAGAUUUAUGCCAAUUUGGGAAUAUAACAAGUAUCAUAAUCCUUUUUCACUCAUAUAAUCUCAAUAAUUUUAUAAUUAUAAUUGCCACUGAUUACAUACAAAGAAAAAUUAGCAAAUAAAAAGAGGAUCAAGAGCCAAUUCCUGGCUCCAUUACUUACUAGGCAUAUGAACUUGGCUAACUAAGUCUACUAAUUCUUUUAAGUUUCAGAUGCUUCAUCUGAAAAUGUGUGAACAAACAUUUCAAAAGCUAAAGGUGAUUGAGAAAUAAGGCCCUGGAAAUUAGAAUGCUAUUCAAUCAUUUGGCUGUAACUACAGUAAUAAAACAUAAAAUCAAUGCACCACCUCCCAAACACACUGAUCACCAUCAGCAGCCAGGACUUCGACAAAAACCUUCACAAAGCCUUCCGGGAUUCCUUCUUGAUUGUGAGCAUUGGACAAGCAUUGCCAAAUAUAUUAUUCUAUUUUUUGUAGAGGCAAGUCAUGAAAAUUUCAUCAAUGGAAACAUUUUUCAAAUUGUUAUUGAUCAUUAAGGUCUGUGCUGAUGUGGUAACUGAAACAAGCAGCAUCCUGUUUGAAAAGUCUUACCUUGGCAGCCUGACACCAGGGUAUCUAAGUUCACAACAGUGGUAUUAAGAUUCUAUGCCACAAGAACUGCAAACCUACC
RNAcentral lists this long non-coding RNA (1861 nucleotides) under Marmota monax (woodchuck). Lineage: Eukaryota; Metazoa; Chordata; Mammalia; Rodentia; Sciuridae. The record is from RNAcentral.